AUUGAACGCUGGCGGCAGGCCUAACACAUGCAAGUCGAACGAGUGGCGGACGGGUGAGUAAUGUCUGGGAAACUGCCUGAUGGAGGGGGAUAACUACUGGAAACGGUAGCUAAUACCGCAUACCAUCAGAUGUGCCCAGAUGGGAUUAGCUUGUUGGGGGGGAAACGGCUCACAAAGGCGACGAUCCCUAGCUGGGCUGAGAGGCUGACCGCCACAACUGGAACUGAGACACGGUCCAGACUCCUACGGGAGGCAGAAGUGGGGAAUAUUGCAAAAUGGGGGAAAGCCGGAUGCAGCCAUGCCGCGGGUAUGAAGAAGGCCUUCGGGUUGUAAAGUACUUUCAGCGGGGAGGCGUUACCCGAAGAAGAAGCACCGGCUAACUCCGUGCCAGCAGCCGCGGUAAUUC
RNAcentral lists this ribosomal RNA (406 nucleotides) under uncultured bacterium. RNAcentral's name for it is "partial 16S ribosomal RNA". It matches the Rfam family "Bacterial small subunit ribosomal RNA", at positions 29 to 526 of the family's 1533-position model. The record is from RNAcentral.